GCCUGGGUGGCUCAGUCAGUUGGGCGUCUGAUUUCCGCUCAGGUCAUAAUCUCAUGGUCUGUGGGUUCAAGCCCUGCAUCGGGCU
Molecule: transfer RNA, 85 nt
Filed under: Felis catus (domestic cat)
Lineage: Eukaryota; Metazoa; Chordata; Mammalia; Carnivora; Felidae
Rfam family: tRNA
About the family: Transfer RNA (tRNA) molecules are approximately 80 nucleotides in length. Their secondary structure includes four short double-helical elements and three loops (D, anti-codon, and T loops).
Source: Rfam by way of RNAcentral